RNAcentral lists this small RNA (2377 nucleotides) under Pan troglodytes (chimpanzee). RNAcentral's name for it is "sense intronic". Lineage: Eukaryota; Metazoa; Chordata; Mammalia; Primates; Hominidae. The record is from RNAcentral.
AGUAAGACCAGGUGCCAAUCCCCGAGGUGUGUUUCUGCUGCUCUUACACACCGAGGCAGACCCAUCAGCUUUUGAGUGUUAAUUACCUCUUCCUGCUGUUGUCAUCUGUACUUGGGAGUAUGAGGCAGAAAUAAGCUAUUAUCUUCUGCAGAAGACAAUUACUGAACUGAUUUUCCAGAGUUGGAAUUAACCUUCUGUGGCCUAGUCACCUUCAUUUCUAUUUGAAUCCCCGGAAUAGUGAAAACAAUGACCAUUGCGUGCUGAGUACCUGCUCUGUCCUGGCAUCUUACAACUCUAUUCCAAAGUCUGUGCUGCUUCCAUAGGACUGUUCUCACUUCUUUCCAUUUUGCAAGUUCUCAGCCUGGCGGCAGUCUCCCUGCCCGAGUGGAUGGUGCCACCACCUCUUACUGAAGGAGCGGUUUCUGAGGGAGAGCGCCUGUGCUGUGCAGCUGUCUCCCGCGAGGCGCCCUUUGACAAGUCUGUCUUCUGUCUCCCCUCAAUGACACUGUGGCUUCAUGGAGUCUCAUUGCAUGCCCAGCACUUAGCACAGGGCAUCCCUGCAUGGCUGCGUUGUUCCCUGCAAGGCUGCAUUUAGGCUUUCCUUUUCCUGCAAGUGCUGCCUCGUCGUCUUUCCUUUCUCUCGUCUCAGCAGCAGGAAGAGCAAGUUCUUUCUCUGCCUCCCCGCUGCCUGGCUCCUUCAGCUAUCACCAGCCAUCCCCUCUACCCAGCCCUCACUCUGGUGCCACAAUUGCUACUUUCCUGGCUUCUUCACGGGGACCUGACAUACCCUUGAGUCUCCUGUACCUGAAGAAAACCUCCUUGCCAUCCUUCUAAGCAAGCAGUUUCUGUCUUGUCGCUUCCUUUCUGGCUCACAUCAAGUCUCUCAGAGGAAGGGGCUAGGGCUGGCGGUGCAGCAAGGGAGAAGACAGGGAGGACAGGCCCUGUGUCCAGCUUCCUCCUAAAUGCUACUCAAACGACCCACAAGGACAGUGGAGGAAAGCGGGCGACACGCUUCUGGAAGACGGAAAACAGAAGUGAGUGACAGCGGACUUAACCUAGAGACACCCAAAACUUAAGCUCCUGCACAGUGAGAGGCUGACAAGUAGUCAGCUGAGCAGUGUCUGCAACGCUGGAGGAGUCCAGAGCCGCAGGCCACAGAGGCAAGGACAGGCCAAGACACGGAAAGGCUGGGAGUGUGCACAAGGUGCAGGGAGACCCCACUGCUUCCCCUCACACCUGGCAGAGGAUGGCGGGUUCCUUUCUGGAGAGCUUGACAAGAACACCUCUGUGCUGGGGACACAGGCCUAGCUGAGUGGCGGUGAGGUGGCACCCUGAAAACAAGCAUUGGGGGAAAGUCUGCAGAGCUCCCAGCGCCGCUCCCCAGAGUCCCGUGUGAGGCCUGCCACCUGACAGCUCAGCCUCACUUCCAAAGAGUGGCUCAGCUUUCCCAGCCAAGAUCACAUGUGAAGAAAAUCUCUUGAAACACAGAUACCAAAACAGAGAAAAGAGGGAGUUAGGAGAAAUGGAGGCAAUGAAGGGAAUGAAGAAAACUUAAAAAAAAAAAAAAAAAAAAGUAUUGAGCCUGUGAAUGAACAAGAAGUUGAAAAAAAACACACAACAAGAAAAAUAUAUUGGAAAUAAAUAUCAUGGCAAAAAAAUUUUUAAUAGAAGAAAUGCAAGAUAAAGCAGAAUAUAAUAUAGACCUGGAGGAAAGGAGAAAAUAUAAGAACAUUGGAGGCUGAAGUCAGGACCUCCACUGCCGGAAUAUUGGGAGAGCCAGAAACAGAACAAAGAGGAAGGAGGGGGAAGAAAAUGCCCCCGUGAUCCAGGAUAAGGAGCAUUCAGAUCAAAAUUCCAGCACAAUCAAUGAAAACAGAGUCUACAUCAUCAGAAAAUUCUAGAAUCUGAGGGAUAAAAGGAAGCCCUUAAGAGCCUCCAGGGAAGAGCUCGAGUCACACACACAGGGGACCUGGAUCACAGCGCACUGACUUCUCCGCAAGAACUCGGAAAGUUAGACGACAAUGAAGAAAUGUCUUUAAAGUUCUGAGGGAAAUGAUUUCCAGAAUCCUCUACGCAGCCAUGUUAUUAACCAAAAGUGGGAGAGAAUACACUUCAGCAAAAUGUGGCCAACAUCCCAGCCAGAGGACGGGACAGGAAUGAGGGUGGCCUGGAUGGCAGCGACACAGAGAGCCCAGACUAGAGCUGGUAGGGAGGACCUUCCAGCGGAUAGUCAGGACCCGGGUUCUGGCCAUGCUCUCAGAAACUGCGAGGCUGAAUUACAAUCCUAGAAACUAAGCGAAAUGCAAAACAAAACAAAAAACAAACUUGAAGCAAUUUUUAAUUUCAAGAAAAACAUAAAGUUGUCCAAGAAAGGAAA